GCUCCUGCUGGGGAAAGGCACCAGGUAGGCUGUGCUGUACCAGCACAAGAGGCAGGAGAAGCCUCUAAACCACUAGCAGAGGAAAGCAAGGGGAAACUUCCUGCCUUGCAACAGGGAGCGAGCAGGGAGAGGCCAGUACUCCCCUUGAGAGGAGGGAGGCAAGGGGAACGACGAGGUACCCUGCGUUUGCCAGCAUUGCCCCUAGGAGAAAUAGAGUCAGGGACAGGGGCAGAAUCCCCUGGAAUCCACUGGAUAAGGGAAGGCAGCUCUGGGAGCCUCCCUACCCAAGGGGAAUAUUAUUUCUAGAGAAGUUAAGAGUGAAGGAUGCAAAGAGAUAGCGGAAGAGCCAGAGAGACAAGAAGACAGGCUGGCCGAGUUGUACAGCCGAGUCCAAGUCCCUGCAUUGGUGAAACCGACAGCGAGCAAGCCCGCAGAGGACCUAAGGUCACCAUCCCAUCAGCAUGUGAUCGGUUGGCGAGUGGACGGGGUGUAGGGAUGGCGGAGCCCCGUGGAACACCAUAGGCAACAGCUGAGGAGCUCAAAGAUCGCCAGAAGGGGAAGAUGGCCACAUGGCCUGUUUAUAGCAGGGAUUCACUUCUCUGGGAGCAACACCUAGAUGAGGAUAUAUGCCAUUGCAAGGAAGAUGAGAAUCGGGCUCCCUCUAUUCUUUUUCAAUGGGAUCAUUAACUAUGCCAGACGAAGGACCAUGGAGAGUGACAUCACCACCAGCACAAACAUCCUCAGCAUGUUCCUUCUAUUUUGAGCUUUAAGAAAAAGAAGGGAGCUUAGUCUCUGGGCCAAUAAAAGCUCCACUUACAUUGGGAUUUUGUGCACUAUGGGAUGCAGUCACUGUGACCUGACUGAUGCCUCCUACUUACUGUGACCCCACACAGCUGUUGGCCUCUACUGAUUUACAGUCACCACAACACCAAGCUGCACUUCAAGAAAUUUGCAGCGAAAAGUUCCCAGUCCCACUGUCAAAGCCUCCUUUGGUUUCAGUCCCCCAUAACAAUCAAUGGCAGCUUUAAUUAAGACACCAUUUAAGCCCUAUGAGCCAGAUUUGUGCCAGCCUACUACAAUAAAAUGGCCAUACACAGGCUUUUACACAGAGACUAUCUCUAGAGCAGAGAGCCUCCACUUUGUUUCAGCAGCAAGUUUGGACAUCCUGGGGCAUUCUGGGAAAUAGCAGAGGGAAUCUGGAGUGGGCCAAAGGAUUGAGGGGCAUGUCAAGGACUGAAAAUGUGCUUGAGCCAAAUCUGAAUCCACAACUACUCCACAGCCCUGCAAAGCUACUAAGGUGUCAAUGCACACAGGCGAAGUUAAGAAAGCUCUCAGGACAGUCCAGGUCUGUAUGGCUAGGGACAGAAGUUACACAUAAACCAGUUUAAGUGAUUAGCAACUGGUUUAAACCUGUAACAGAACAGAAGUUCAGUGCACA
This is a long non-coding RNA of Alligator sinensis (Chinese alligator), 1438 nucleotides long. RefSeq lists it as uncharacterized. The transcript is spliced from 3 exons. Lineage: Eukaryota; Metazoa; Chordata; Crocodylia; Alligatoridae. The record is from RefSeq and is a predicted model, not a curated record.